UUAAUAAUUUAUUGCUUUAACUCAGACAACACCAUUAAAAUAUAGAUUUUUUUUAUUGGACUUUGGUAGGCAUUUCUCACCCACCAAAGCAAGCUUGGAUGGAAUACAAAGGGUUUGGAGGUUGGGCCAUAUAAGAACCCUAACUCAGUAAUGAUCCUUCCGCAGGUUCACCUACGGAAA
Molecule: unclassified non-coding RNA, 180 nt
Filed under: uncultured fungus
Lineage: Eukaryota; Fungi
Description: sequence contains ITS1
Source: RNAcentral